Molecule: transfer RNA, 73 nt
Organism: Camelus ferus (Wild Bactrian camel)
Lineage: Eukaryota; Metazoa; Chordata; Mammalia; Artiodactyla; Camelidae
Rfam family: tRNA
About the family: Transfer RNA (tRNA) molecules are approximately 80 nucleotides in length.
Source: Rfam
GAGGGUGUAGCUCAAGAGGCAGAGUGCAUGCUUAGCAUGCACGAUGUCCUGGGUUCAAUCCCCAGUAUCUCCU